AUUGAACGCUGGCGGCAGGCCUAACACAUGCAAGUCGAACGAGUGGUGGACGGGUGAGUAAUGUCUGGGCAACGGCCUGAUGGAUGGGGAUAACUACUGGAAACGGUAGCUAAUACCGCAUACUGUCGGUUGUUCCCAGGUGGGUAUAGCUGGUUGGUGGGGUAAAGGCUCACCUAGGCGACGAUCCCUAGCUGGUCUGAGAGGAUGACCAGCCACACUGGAACUGAGACACGGUCCAGACUCCUACGGGAGGCAGCAGUGGGGAAUAUUGCACAAUGGGCGCAAGCCUGAUGCAGCCAUGCCGCGUGUAUGAAGAAGGCCUUCGGGUUGUAAAGUACUUUCAGCGGGGAGGCGUUACCCGCAGAAGAAGCACCGGCUAACUCCGUGCCAGCAGCCGCGGUAAUUC
RNAcentral lists this ribosomal RNA (406 nucleotides) under uncultured bacterium. RNAcentral describes it as "partial 16S ribosomal RNA". It matches the Rfam family "Bacterial small subunit ribosomal RNA", at positions 30 to 526 of the family's 1533-position model. The record is from RNAcentral.